This 263-nucleotide long non-coding RNA is filed under the name Mytilus galloprovincialis (Mediterranean mussel). The record is from RNAcentral. Lineage: Eukaryota; Metazoa; Mollusca; Bivalvia; Mytilida; Mytilidae.
CUCCUUAAGGGGUCAACUGACCAUUUUAGUCAUAAUAACUUAUUUGUAGAUCUUACUAUGCUGAACAUUAUUGCUGUUUACAGUUUAUCUCUAUCUAUAAUAAUAUUCCAGAAGUAGAUAUUUAAAACACGUACGUAGUAUAGGGAACAAGAGCGCAAUUAUUUGUUAUGCAUUUUCCAUAGGACCCCAGUGGUAUUCAAAAAUUUAUUUCUUGAAGAAUAAACAAACUAUAAAAAAUGGGCAGCAGAUGGACUAUAGAUGUC